RNAcentral lists this ribosomal RNA (731 nucleotides) under uncultured Staphylococcus sp. RNAcentral describes it as "bacterial SSU rRNA". It matches the Rfam family "Bacterial small subunit ribosomal RNA", at positions 45 to 758 of the family's 1533-position model. The record is from RNAcentral. Lineage: Bacteria; Bacillati; Bacillota; Bacilli; Caryophanales; Staphylococcaceae.
UGCCUAAUACAUGCAAGUCGAGCGAACAGACGAGGAGCUUGCUUCUCUGACGUUAGCGGCGGACGGGUGAGUAACACGUGGAUAACCUACCUAUAAGACUGGGAUAACUUCGGGAAACCGGAGCUAAUACCGGAUAAUAUAUUGAACCGCAUGGUUCAAUAGUGAAAGACGGUUUUGCUGUCACUUAUAGAUGGAUCCGCGCCGCAUUAGCUAGUUGGUAAGGUAACGGCUUACCAAGGCAACGAUGCGUAGCCGACCUGAGAGGGUGAUCGGCCACACUGGAACUGAGACACGGUCCAGACUCCUACGGGAGGCAGCAGUAGGGAAUCUUCCGCAAUGGGCGAAAGCCUGACGGAGCAACGCCGCGUGAGUGAUGAAGGUCUUCGGAUCGUAAAACUCUGUUAUUAGGGAAGAACAAAUGUGUAAGUAACUAUGCACGUCUUGACGGUACCUAAUCAGAAAGCCACGGCUAACUACGUGCCAGCAGCCGCGGUAAUACGUAGGUGGCAAGCGUUAUCCGGAAUUAUUGGGCGUAAAGCGCACGUAGGCGGUUUUUUAAGUCUGAUGUGAAAGCCCACGGCUCAACCGUGGAGGGUCAUUGGAAACUGGAAAACUUGAGUGCAGAAGAGGAAAGUGGAAUUCCAUGUGUAGCGGUGAAAUGCGCAGAGAUAUGGAGGAACACCAGUGGCGAAGGCGACUUUCUGGUCUGUAACUGACGCUGAUGUGCGAAA